Non-coding RNA from Glycine max (soybean), 129 nucleotides. NCBI's taxonomy places the organism in Eukaryota, Viridiplantae, Streptophyta, Magnoliopsida, Fabales, Fabaceae. The record is from Rfam.
ACGCGGCUUAGUUAGGAGGCGCACAUCAAUCGGAACCAAAUUCACGUUUGUUUCCAUUCAGAGAAAGGCCUUUUGAAGGGACUCUCUGCAUUCUCACAUCAAUUGUUCCUCAAGCAGCCUUUCACAUUU